AUCUAGCCCCGAUAGAAGUGGAAAUCCUUUUAUAGCGGUGUUCGCUAUAAAAGAUUAGAGCGGAUAGCGGGACUUUGG
Flavobacterium hercynium is the source of this 78-nucleotide non-coding RNA. NCBI's taxonomy places the organism in Bacteria, Pseudomonadati, Bacteroidota, Flavobacteriia, Flavobacteriales, Flavobacteriaceae. The record is from Rfam.